Molecule: ribosomal RNA, 824 nt
Filed under: fungal sp. BG111
Lineage: Eukaryota; Fungi
Description: eukaryotic LSU rRNA
Rfam family: Eukaryotic large subunit ribosomal RNA
Source: RNAcentral
CGGCGAGUGAAGCGGCAAGAGCUCAAAUUUGAAAUCUGGCCCCCUCGGGGUCCGAGUUGUAAUUUGCAGAGGAUGCUUCGGGUGCGGUCCCCAUCUAAGUGCCCUGGAACGGGCCGUCAUAGAGGGUGAGAAUCCCGUCUGGGAUGGGCGGCCGCGCCCGUGUGAAGCUCCUUCGACGAGUCGAGUUGUUUGGGAAUGCAGCUCUAAGCGGGUGGUAAAUUUCAUCUAAAGCUAAAUACUGGCCGGAGACCGAUAGCGCACAAGUAGAGUGAUCGAAAGAUGAAAAGCACUUUGAAAAGAGAGUUAAACAGCACGUGAAAUUGUUGAAAGGGAAGCGUUGUCCACCAGACUCGCCCGGGGGGGUUCAGCCGGCACGUGUGCCGGUGUACUCCUCUCCGGGCGGGCCAGCAUCGGUUUGGGCGGCUGGUGAAAGGCCCCGGGAAUGUACCACCCUUCGGGGUGUCUUAUAGCCCGGGGUGCCAUACAGCCAGCCUGGACCGAGGCCCGCGCUUCGGCGAGGAUGCUGGCGUAAUGGUGGUCAACGGCCCGUCUUGAAACACGGACCAAGGAGUCUAACAUCUAUGCGAGUGUUCGGGUGUCAAACCCGUCCGCGCAGUGAAAGCGAACGGAGGUGGGAGCCCCUCGGGGCGCACCAUCGACCGAUCCUGAUGUCUUCGGAUGGAUUUGAGUAAGAGCAUAGCUGUUGGGACCCGAAAGAUGGUGAACUAUGCCUGAAUAGGGCGAAGCCAGAGGAAACUCUGGUGGAGGCUCGCAGCGGUUCUGACGUGCAAAUCGAUCGUCAAAUUUGGGUAUAGGGGCGAAAG